Molecule: ribosomal RNA, 424 nt
Filed under: uncultured prokaryote
Description: bacterial SSU rRNA
Rfam family: Bacterial small subunit ribosomal RNA
Source: RNAcentral
UGGGGAAUCUUGGACAAUGGGGGCAACCCUGAUCCAGCCAUGCCGCGUGAGUGAAGAAGGCCCUAGGGUCGUAAAGCUCUUUCGCCUGUGAAGAUAAUGACGGUAGCAGGUAAAGAAACCCCGGCUAACUCCGUGCCAGCAGCCGCGGUAAUACGGAGGGGGUUAGCGUUGUUCGGAAUUACUGGGCGUAAAGCGCGCGUAGGCGGACUGGAAAGUUGGGGGUGAAAUCCCAGGGCUCAACCCUGGAACUGCCUUCAAAACUAUCAGUCUUGAGGUCGAGAGAGGUGAGUGGAAUUCCGAGUGUAGAGGUGAAAUUCGUAGAUAUUCGGAGGAACACCAGUGGCGAAGGCGGCUCACUGGCUCGAUACUGACGCUGAGGUGCGAAAGCGUGGGGAGCAAACAGGAUUAGAUACCCCCGUAGUCC